CGGCUCCCCUUCCAGCAUGGGGUGACGACGUUCUCACCAAGUCCUUCCCCUCUCCCGCUCCGCGCCUCCCUUGGCCCUCCGCUGCUCGUUUUGCGCGUCUCAAGCACCGGCGCAGGUAACUCCUAGCCCGCCCGGCCGCCCCGUCCCAUCUGCACUCUGCACAGCCCAGCAUGAAACCUUGCACUCACUCCAGCGCCAGGCGUACAGGUCGCACCGGCUCCGCCUUCAGCCUCAGAAAGAUUCCCAACUGGAGCUGUGAAGGGUGGCCUGUGAGGGAGGUGUCGCAAUCAUCCUCCAUUCGCAGGUCCUGAAAGGGGCACCCUCUCCCGACCUGGCUGGACUCGGGCCCCGCAAGAAGACCUAUCUCCUCAAGUUGGCAGGUGAAGAGAGGACCACCAGUAGGCCACAGCUAUGACUGAAAACAGUUUUAUUAAAAUAAGCGCAUCGUAUAACAGCAUGGUUGUAUUGUAUAAAUGUCCGCCUGACAUCUGCAAAUCCAUUCUCUCCACGUAACUCAGUCGCUCGGCUUCUGCGGCAAUGGCCAGACCGCACUGCUCGGACCAGGGCAGCUGCGCUCUCUCCGAUCUGGCUUCAACGCAGGCAGGGAGCUCCAGUGAACUGUCCCAGCUCUGUGCCACCCUCCAUAUCAGACUUGAGCGACACAGCAGCAGCAGAGCCAUGGAGACUGUCUCUAAGAUUGUUCAUUAUAGUAACAGCUUAAAAACCAGUUAGAAUGAGAGGGAAUAGCUGAUUAAAAUGCAAACGCAGGACACCUGGAAAGAGCGAGCCAGCCCAGCUGGUAGGUGCUCCAGGAUGUCCGUGGGCCUGCAGUGAGCUUUACCAUCCCCUAGCUGGAAAAGCAUGAUUAAAAAACAAACAUUUUAAAACAAAA
Long non-coding RNA from Tupaia belangeri chinensis (Chinese tree shrew), 892 nucleotides. RefSeq lists it as uncharacterized. The transcript has 3 exons. The record is from RefSeq and is a predicted model, not a curated record. Lineage: Eukaryota; Metazoa; Chordata; Mammalia; Scandentia; Tupaiidae.